AGAGUUUGAUCCUGGCUCAGGACGAACGCUGGCGGCGUGCUUAACACAUGCAAGUCGAACGGAAAGGCCCUUCGGGGUACUCGAGUGGCGAACGGGUGAGUAACACGUGGGUGAUCUGCCCUGCACUUUGGGAUAAGCCUGGGAAACUGGGUCUAAUACCGAAUAUGACCAUGCACUUCCUGGUGUGUGGUGGAAAGCUUUUGCGGUGUGGGAUGGGCCCGCGGCCUAUCAGCUUGUUGGUGGGGUAAUGGCCUACCAAGGCGACGACGGGUAGCCGGCCUGAGAGGGUGACCGGCCACACUGGGACUGAGAUACGGCCCAGACUCCUACGGGAGGCAGCAGUGGGGAAUAUUGCACAAUGGGCGCAAGCCUGAUGCAGCGACGCCGCGUGAGGGAUGACGGCCUUCGGGUUGUAAACCUCUUUCAGCACAGACGAAGCGCAAGUGACGGUAUGUGCAGAAGAAGGACCGGCCAACUACGUGCCAGCAGCCGCGGUAAUACGUAGGGUCCGAGCGUUGUCCGGAAUUACUGGGCGUAAAGAGCUCGUAGGUGGUUUGUCGCGUUGUUCGUGAAAACUCACAGCUUAACUGUGGGCGUGCGGGCGAUACGGGCAGACUUGAGUACUGCAGGGGAGACUGGAAUUCCUGGUGUAGCGGUGAAAUGCGCAGAUAUCAGGAGGAACACCGGUGGCGAAGGCGGGUCUCUGGGCAGUAACUGACGCUGAGGAGCGAAAGCGUGGGGAGCGAACAGGAUUAGAUACCCUGGUAGUCC
Molecule: ribosomal RNA, 771 nt
Filed under: uncultured bacterium
Lineage: Bacteria
Description: bacterial SSU rRNA
Rfam family: Bacterial small subunit ribosomal RNA
Source: RNAcentral